RNAcentral lists this ribosomal RNA (460 nucleotides) under uncultured bacterium. RNAcentral's name for it is "partial 16S ribosomal RNA". It matches the Rfam family "Bacterial small subunit ribosomal RNA", at positions 338 to 795 of the family's 1533-position model. The record is from RNAcentral.
CCUACGGGUGGCUGCAGUGAGGAAUAUUGGUCAAUGGACGAGAGUCUGAACCAGCCAAGUAGCGUGAAGGAUGACUGCCCUAUGGGUUGUAAACUUCUUUUAUAUGGGAAUAAAAUGUUCCACGUGUGGGAUUUUGUAUGUACCAUAUGAAUAAGGACCGGCUAACUCCGUGCCAGCAGCCGCGGUAAUACGGAGGUUCCGAGCGUUAUCCGGAUUUAUUGGGUUUAAAGGGAGCGUAGGUGGAUUGUUAAGCCAGUUGUGAAAGUUUGCGGCUCAACCGUGGAAUUGCAGUUGAAACUGGCUGGCUUGAGUGCAGUAGAGGUGGGCGGAAUUCGUGGUGUAGCGGUGAAAUGCUUAGAUAUCACGAAGAACUCCGAUUGCGAAGGCAGUUCACUGGACUGCAACUGACACUGAGGCUCGAAAGUGUGGGUAUCAAACAGGAUUAGAUACCCUUGUAGUC